GCCCGAUGUGGGACUUGAUCCCAGGUCUCCAGGAUCACGCCCUGGGCUGAAGGUGGCGCUAAACCGCUGGGCCACCCAGGCUGCCCGAUUUAGUCCUAAUUUAAAAAGGUAUUUUCUUUUGGAAACAAAACACUGGGCCCUGGGGUGCCAGCCCCUACCCUCCUUACGCACCACCGCCCCCCCACCACCACACUUCUGGCAUUUAGAUUUAGGUCAUUUUUGUCUAGCAUUUGGUUCAUUUUCCUAGCAUUUUGCCAAGCAAACGGAGGCUGCCAUCACAUCUCCUGAGCACUCUACCGUGUGUCCAAAACCUGCAUUCCCACAACCAUCCCUACCGACCAGGGUCCUAACCCUGCAUGGCCAGUCCCCUGGAACUGUGCAGCCCCUCACCCCCCACUGAGGUCAUCUGACUUCCUUCCACCCCCAGAACCCACUGCCUCCCUUCUGGGCCUGGGCAGGUGUCCAUGCCUCUGUGUCCUGAAGCAGUUUUCUCCCAUACUGCUGCAGCAGAGCCUUACAAAAGCAAUGUGGAGCAAACCUGGCCGCUUCCUUUCUGGUGUCCUUCCUGGCAGCACCGAGGACCCAGGACCUCCUCCCCCAACAGUCCCAAUCAGCCAGAGCCUGCUCCACUGCCCCCCUCCACACCUCUCACCUCACUGCUUCUGUGGGGAUGGGUGGGCUGGGGUCAGGCCAGAGUGGUGCCACCACCUACCUGGGAGCACAGCCUUUGCCUCCGGGUAAGAAGAGAUGGGCAGCCCCCAUGAAAUGUCUAGGUGGAAACUCAGAAGUAACAUUAAGCCUGGAUUAAAAGGAACAAGUAGUCACUCUGCCUCCCAGAAGUGGUCUUAAGAUAGGGAGGCCAAUUCCUAAAUGUAAAAGUUUAAUGAUUGUAGGUUGGCUUAAUAGGCUUGUAUCUUAAAUUGCUUUCUCUUAUUGGAUUUCUCUCCUCACAUGUUUUAGUUUUAUUGGUCUAAGCCCUGAAAACCAUCACAGUGAAGUGUUUAGAGCCAAGAUGAAAUUUGAUUUUCAUAGUGGCUGAGCGUACACAGAGAUGCUGCAGAUCCACAUGCAGGCUCUCCAGCUCCAGCUCAGGUUCAUGGGAGGAAAAGCCUCCAGGGAGGGGUCCCAGCAGGUUCUCAGGGAUGUUGGUCUCCCAGCCCCCACACUGGACCCCUCACCCUAUCCUGACGCCAAUCCCUGCCUCCCCACUUCUAAGCCCCAGCAUGGCCUAUUCAGCUGGAAUCUCCAGAAGCAGGAAACAGCAGAAACCUGGAUUAGGAGAAAGCAGUAAUAAGGAUGGUGGCUGUUUGAGAGGAAGCAAGCCUUGCCACCUUUGGGAUGAAAUUUAAGUUGUUCAAGGUACAUUUUCCAAGCUUUGCACCAGGGCUUUGGGGUUCCAGGCCUGAACCAGGAACAGCAGGCUCACAAGAGAGGAGAGACGUGGCAAGUGCUGAACAAGGCGGCAAAUUUACUCCCCUGGUAAAUGGCGGAGUUUCUGGUGAAAGUGGCAGGUAAAGGGGAAGAUCAGGGAAGGUGUAGGGAGCAGGAAUUAUGUCUUAGCUUCCUUGCCCCCAAGCCAAUCUUUCUGUCAAUUACUGUUUAUCAGAAAGCCAUUUUAAACAAGACUUGGAUGAGAAUAUCAUGUCCAUAAUAAUUUUCCUCAAGGCUGAGUCACUGCUUACCUGACAAAUCAUAAUGGGCCUUUGCUUCAGGUCUUUUUCAGUCUUAUUUCCUAUUGUCUGGAAUCCUUAAACACUCAAUUUUUGUAACAAAACAGUCUCUGUUUUCUCUUUGUCAUCCUCAUCACAGGUAACAGUUUCACUCAAUAUUGCAUUACAGUAGGACCUGAGUCUCAAUCCAUCUACAGUAUUUUUUUUUUUUUUUUUGCCACUCAGCACCUUACUAGUAGUUCAUGUAUGUAAGUAGCCUCAAUAUCAAGGUAUCAGGGUUUUUUUUUUUUUUAUUAGAUAGGAAAACACUAGCUGUUGCAACAAACACCAGGAUUUCAGUGGCUUAAGACAGUAAAAUGAUUUUCUUGCACACCCAAUAGUCUGUUCCUUGUAGGCAGGGAUUUUUCCAUCAUAUGGUUCCAUCAUUUCAGUGCCUUAUCCCUCUGCUUCUAAGAGAAGGGUAAAGAGCCUGGAGCAGCACUGGGGACAUUAUUUUGGGCCAGUUGUGGAACUGGGACACAACUUCAUUCCUUUGGCACAGAACAAUUUCAAGGGAGCUAGGAAAUGUUAUUCCUGGCUAUUAUUAAUAGAUAUUUCCUGGUGACAACUCCACAAAUUUGUGGGGGAUGUUGACUAAUUGGUAAUAGCCUCUGUGUAACUAAAGUGCUUUACCAUUUAUAAAGCAUUUUAAUGUAAAUAAUGACAUGAAGUAAGCCUAAAAGGUUUAUUAUCUCCAUGUCAUAAAGGGAGAAAUGGAUACAGAGAUGUUAACCUGUGCAAGAUUGUAUCACUCGACUUCUGGUUUCAGAUCCAAUGCGUAAAGAGCUUGGAAGUUAUCACUCCUCUUACAACAACAAAACAAAAUUGAAAGAAAAAGAAAAACCCUGAAAAUCAAUGCCUUUUCUUGUACUCACCAGAGAAUUGAGGUUACAAGACAAACUGCUGUCCUGAAAUCUGUAGAGAAGGGUGAAGACAGAGAUUCACAGCUGAGAUCUGCUUACCUAGAGUGAAAACUUCCGGAGCCAUCAACUGUAGGAAUCACUUAGAUGGCCAUUUUGACAAAUCACUGGGUGCUGAGUGUGGGCUAGCUUGAGAGUGAAAAACUCCUGGAGGCCACAGUCAUAGGAAAUUUUACAGAUUUUCAAAGGUUUUACCUCCAAGAGAACCCCACCAGUUUAUUAUGAUGAAGAAUCAAGAAAUACCUCCUGCUGGCUCUGGCAGGUGGAAGAGAAAGAUAACCAUUUUGAGAUAUGCCCAAAACAUUCUCCAUUAGAAAGACUUACUUUCUAAGGGAAAAGACUACCAGAGCAUUAUCCUGCAUAAGAAGGUCAUUUACCCAAUUCCAGUCCCCUCAAUCCUUCCUAUUUUACCCCAGGGGUAAAAAAAAUAAUGCCAAGAAUCCCCUGUGAAGGUCGCAGCCUGGGGACAGGCCCAAAAGACAGAUUUUAUCAUUAAAAUUAUAGAAUGCUUCCCCUCCCCUACACCUUGCCACCACAGCAACAGGAAUCAAAAAUAAUUGAGUUCCAGUUAAAGGAACGGAAAGAGCAAGGAGCAGACUCUGAAGAGGAGUUCUUAGGGAAGCCAAAACAGCAGAGGACACAGAAGCAGAAACCCUAGAGGAAGCCAAAACCUCUGGCGCCUACAGUAACAAUAAACAUUAAACACAGCCCAAAUCCUUGGCAGAUUAACAUAAAUCCUCACACUAAAGGCCUUUUACCUCAGUUUCUGUUACCUGAUACAUUAUGGCUGGAGUCUAACAAAAAAUUGCAAGGCUUGCUAAAAGACAAGGAAAAAAAUCUGAAGAGUAUCAGAACCAGAAUCAGAUAUUGACACAAAUGUUGGAAUUAUCAAACAAGGAAUUUAAAAUAACUGAUUAAUAUGUUGAGGGCUCUAAGGAAAAAAGUAGACACCACGAGUGAACAGAUGGGUAAUGUAAGUCAAGAGAUGGAAACUCUAAGAAAAAUCCAAAGAAAAUGCUAGAAAUCCACAACAAUGUGACAAAUUAAAAAUCCCUUUGAAGGGCUCAUCUGUAGACUGGACACUACAUCUGCAGCAGUAUAUUGUGCUGUUUCAGGGUGGACUUAGAUUAUUUAUUUAUGUAAAUGCAAACUCAAGUCAACUACUAAACGGUAUAAAAAGAAAAUAAUUGAUAUUCUAUUUUUUAAAACCUUUAUUUUUUUAAGAUAUUAUUUAUUUAUUCAUGAGAGACACAGAGAGGCAGAGACAUAGGCAGAGGGAGGAGAAGCAGGCUCCAUUCAGGAAGCCCAACAUGGGACCCGAUACCGGAACCCAAGGAUCAUGCCUGAGCUGAAGAUAGAUGCUCAACUGCUGAGCCACCCAGGCGUCCCUGUGAUUGAUAUUCUAAUAGAAGAGAUAAAAUGGAGAGAAUAACACUAAGGAAUUAGCCAUAAGCAUAUUGCUCUGAGAAAUUAUCUGGAAACUAGGAUAAUAAAAAAAAAAAGUAGUGAUGUAUCUAGUCUCCAGUGGGUGAGUAAAUAUAAGACAAUUGUGACCAAAGGCUGGACUUCCAGGCCAAGGACCACCCCAUAGAAGGCAUGGUCACCCCAUCUAAGUCAGGAAGUCAGGGAAACCCCAGGACCUCCAAUCCACAACAGCAGAAAGAAGGGACAAACUGUUUCCUCCUCCUCCAAUGUGUGUGUGUGUGUGUGUGUGUAUAUAUAUAUAUAUAUAUAUAUAUAUAUAUAUAUAUAUAUAUAUGAAACCAUGAUUAAUGAAUUUCCUGAUGUUUUGCAAUUUGGGCUUUCCCAUUGAUGGUAUCUCUUACUGAUCUUAAAAAAUAGCCAAAUAUGGGAACACAUAAAAUGUUGCAUAAAUCGAAAGUGGUUCUUUAGGAGGAAAAUAUCAAGGGCCUCUGACCUGCAUGGUAUUGUAUACACUACCAAAUAUAAGAAGAUGAACAGGAAGACUGAUGUGAGAAUACCUGUUUCACAGUUGGAGACAUCAAAGAACAGGAGCUGCAAUGGUACCAGGGCUUUAAGGGCCACCCCAUUGUUCACCGGCAGUUUCUCUGCCCACUUAGUUUCACCAUCUUCCUCCAGGGGGUGCUGUUUCCUAUUCUAGCCCCUGCUAACCGUAGGUUCCCUUUUGGCAAGCAGGGAAGUCUGCUAAGAUAUUUUCAGUAACUACAGGGAUGACAGUACAAAACACUACUGUACAGAAAUUAGGCCCAGGGGGUACAUGGACAGAUUUUUCUCUGCUAAAGAGCAGGUAGAGAAUAGGAGAUCAAGUCUACAGAGGGAUCCCUCAAAAUCUCUGAGCCACGGAAAUAGAAAUCUUUUCUAUUUCUUUAAUUGGUAAGCUGUAGAAAAAACAGUGGAUAGCUUCCUCAUCAGGAGGUAAUUCUUAGUAAAAGCUUCUAAAGCUUGCAGUUUUUGUUGUUGUUGGAGGGGUGGUGUUGGUAGUGGUUAGUUUUAAAUCUGGAACCCCUUGCUUUGGUCUUCGUACAAUUCCACCCUGAUUUUACUCAUGCUUGCCCCAGUGAUAGCUGGAGCCAAUCAGGCUAACUCUCUGUCUUGUUCUGAAAGGAAUGGGGACCUACUGUGGACGCAGAGCAGCUGAUCUGUUUGUGGGGGGUGGUCUUCACCUGCAGUGGAGAACUUGACAGUCCACCAAAGAGGGCUUAACCUGCCUCUGCCUGAACAGACACUCCUCAAGGCUUUGGUCUGUGUGUUCCAUACAUUGACUGGUGUGUUGCUUCGCCUGUUACGUACAGCAGGUUCAUUGACGACCUUCAACCUAUAUCACCUAAGGUAAUUAUCUCCCAGGCAAGGAAGCCACAGCAUCCUGUUGAUUUUGCCUUCCCAGUAUUAACAGAAGGUGGCUUUAAAAAUGUAGGUGGGAACCCAUGUGUGAAUGCAGUCCCCUGGAGAGGCCUGGUGGAUACAAUCCUUUAAUGCCAUAAGUAAAGAUCAGAAAGGUAUGUAGUGAGUGAGUCUGAGAAGUGGGUACAUGGCCCUUUCAGAAAGAGCUGUGAAUGAAGACAAUGCAGAAUAGGUAUGAUUGUUUUAUGUCUUUAAUUUCUUCUUAGCCUACUUGCUUGCUUUUUUACCAGAUGACUCUGGAGAACGGAAACCAAUUGCUAGGUGGUAUAUGAAACUGAGUUAUAUAUUUAAGGACUACUUUGUGAAGAAGAUUUGCCAGGACAUUGUGGAAAGGAUUUGUGGAGAGAAAUGUCUGUUGUAAUGCUGUGCAUGCUCAGGUUCAGGGAGUUUCCAAAGAAGAAAAAGGCCACAGAGCUUUUGUCCAAUCAAUAGCCUCAUUACUGCUCAGCCAAUAACUCCAUUAACACUAAGAGCUGGUUUCCACUUUUGGCAACAAGUUCCAAGCUAAAGAAUGAUGGAUGGUCACUUCAUACAGAAAUCCACGCCCUCUCUUGCUCACUGUGCAUCUGUGUCACAGAUGGUCGCAAUGUUUCCCAUAGUUUAUUUUUAUACUCUAUGAAGCCUAUAAGGUCUAUGCCUGAUUUAAAAAAAAAAAUCCAUCUGCCAAGGGCCAGUAUAUAAAUGCAGUGAUGGGUGAUGUUAACCGUGUUGACCAGCUUUCACAUCACUAUCCUAUAGGAAUUCCUCAUCCAUCAUUCAGCUCUUAUGUGUAGAGAGUUCUACUCUUGUGGGCAUUAGCAUGUUUUCUCAAUGAAGUCAGCAAACAGAAUAUGACAAUAACAAGGAGUAUCACUGCUGUAUAUGUGUGUGUAUCUAUCUAUCUAUCUAUCUAUCUAUCUAUCUAUCUAAUUUUUUUUAAGGGAGAGAGCAUGCACAUGGGGAGGGGAGGUAGAAGGAGAGAGGGAAAGAGAGAAUCUUAAGCAGGCUCCACACCCAGCACAGAGGCCAACAUGCAGCUUGACCUCACUACCCUAAGAUCAUGACCUGAGCCAAACUCAAGAAUCGGGCACGUAAAAGACUGAGCCACCCAGGUGCCCCUGAUUGCUAAGAUUUUUAAACCAGUGAUUGAAACCAAGAGAGAUAAUUUUCUUGCCUUUCUUUGUUUCAUCUGAGCAUAGAGUGAUGUUGGGUUCAUAAGUGAGUUGACCAGCUCCAUUUCCCCAUUAUUAUCUGUUCUCUGGAACAGUUUGUAUAAGAUAUUUGUUCCCCAGAGAUUUCAGAAACUACACCUAAACUGUACCUUAAAUGUACCUUAAACCCUUGGUAUGGAGAAUAGCAUUUUGAAUUUUAAUUCAUUUUUUCCUAUGGUUAUCAGCCUAUACAAAUUUUCCACUUUCAGCCAACUUGGGUAAUUCCUAUAAUCAUGUCUAUUUCAUCUAACUUUUAAAUUUAAUGAAGUAAUAUCAAUUUCAAUUUAAAAAUCUUUUCUAUAUCUGUAUUCAAGCCUCCUUUAAUUCCUUUUGUUUUUCAUUACUACCUUUAUUUUUCUUGGUUAUAGUUGUAAAUAUUUGUCAAAUAUAUUGGUCUUCUCAAAUAAUCUUU
Molecule: long non-coding RNA, 7114 nt
Organism: Canis lupus familiaris (dog)
Lineage: Eukaryota; Metazoa; Chordata; Mammalia; Carnivora; Canidae
Exons: 2
Source: RefSeq, a predicted model, not a curated record